CAGUAAUGUUUAAAUUAACACCAAGGACACCCUUGAAAGAAACAUGUGGGCAAUUUGACUUUAGAGAUUAUCCAAAGGUGAUACCCAUUAAGAGGAAUCCCAAAAGAAGAGAACACUCACAUGAUGACAGAAGUGCAUGCUGGUUAGUGUUGUUUUACAUAAUGAGACAAAAUUGAAGCAAAUAUGUAAAAGUAGAUGAAUAAAGUAAACCUCAAUGAAAAAGCCUCUGAGAAA
RNAcentral lists this long non-coding RNA (234 nucleotides) under Felis catus (domestic cat). RNAcentral describes it as "lncRNA (ENSFCAG00000045686.2)". Lineage: Eukaryota; Metazoa; Chordata; Mammalia; Carnivora; Felidae. The record is from RNAcentral.